Molecule: ribosomal RNA, 253 nt
Filed under: uncultured bacterium
Lineage: Bacteria
Description: partial 16S ribosomal RNA
Rfam family: Bacterial small subunit ribosomal RNA
Source: RNAcentral
UACGUAGGUGGCAAGCGUUGUCCGGAUUUACUGGGCGUAAAGAGCGCGCAGGCGGUCGAGUAAGUCGAAUGUGAAAGCCCCCGGCUUAACUGGGGAGGGUCAUUCGAUACUGUUCGACUUGAAGGCAGGAGAGGGCAGCAGAAUUCCCGGUGUAGUGGUGAAAUGCGUAGAUAUCGGGAGGAAUACCAGUGGCGAAGGCGGCGACCUGGUCCGUGACUGACGCUGAGGCGCGAAAGCGUGGGGAGCAAACAGG